This 440-nucleotide ribosomal RNA is filed under the name uncultured bacterium. RNAcentral describes it as "partial 16S ribosomal RNA". It matches the Rfam family "Bacterial small subunit ribosomal RNA", at positions 338 to 795 of the family's 1533-position model. The record is from RNAcentral.
CCUACGGGAGGCAGCAGUGGGGAAUAUUGGACAAUGGGGGGAACCCUGAUCCAGCGACGCCGCGUGAGUGAAGAAGUAUUUCGGUAUGUAAAGCUCUAUCAGCAGGGAAGAAAAUGACGGUACCUGACUAAGAAGCCCCGGCUAACUACGUGCCAGCAGCCGCGGUAAUACGUAGGGGGCAAGCGUUAUCCGGAUUUACUGGGUGUAAAGGGAGCGUAGACGGCAGCACAAGUCUGAUGUGAAAUGCCGGGGCUUAACCCCGGGACUGCCUUGGAAACUGUUGAACUAGAGUGCAGGAGAGGUAAGUGGAAUUCCUAGUGUAGCGGUGAAAUGCGUAGAUAUUAGGAGGAACACCAGUGGCGAAGGCGGCUUACUGGACUGUAACUGACGUUGAGGCUCGAAAGCGUGGGGAGCAAACAGGAUUAGAUACCCUGGUAGUC